CAUUCUCAUGCUGAUAAUAAAAACAUACCCUAGACUGGGUCAUUUAUAAAGGAAAGAAGUUUAAUUGACUCAGUUCCACAGGGCUGGGGAGGCCUCAGGAAACUUACAAUCAUGACAGAGGUGGAAGCAAACAUGCCCUUCUUCACAUGGCGGCAGCAAGGAAAAGUGCAGAGUGAAGUGGGGGAAAGCCCCUUAUAAAACCAUCAGAUCUCAUGAGAACUUACUAUCACAAGAACAGUAUGGAGGUGACAGCCCCCAUGAUUCAAUUACCUCCCAUCGGGACCCUCCUAUGACAAGUAGGAAUUAUGAGAACUACAGUUCAAAAUGAGAUUUGGGUGGGAACACAGCCAAAUCACACCAGUGUAUAAGUAACUAUGAUCCCAAAUUGUUCACGUCAAAAAUAAUGUGAGAAUCUGCCCUUUACUUAGUACUUGAUGAAAAAAAUAGUUCACAAAGAGAGUUUUAAGAAAUCUAACACAUUGUUCGUUACCAUUUUUUUCUGCUUGAAACACUUUUUAUUUUGUCUUUAUUUCUUACAGCCCAUCAUUUCUUCAAGGUCCAAUUAAAUUUUUGGGUGUUCCAUAACACCUUACCUUAGUCCCAAACGAUGAUGGUUGUGUGACCAUCUGUGAUAUAACACAUGAACUCUUUACAACAGAGUGAUAACUCCUUACUCAAUGUAUAAAGUGCAGAUUUUGAUCAACAUUUCCAAGACGGCAAUGUAAAGAAAAAUAGAUUCUGCUAGUUAAAAUGAGGAAAGUGCAGCUGGUCAUAGUCAUUCUCUUAUUAGGUUUUUGCUGUCCCCCAUUACUGGGGAAAAGAGAAUUGGCUUCAAGUAUCCCUGGGCAUCAGUGUGUGUCAGAAAGCUUUCUUCCUACUGGAGACUCGGGAAUCCAGUAUGCUUCCAUCUGAUACAUCUGGCAUCUUCAUCUGUGCUUUUCCUUUCUUAGAGAAAACAUCCAGCCUAAGAAAGCAUGUGGUGAGCAUUUUAAGAUGACAAAUGGGAGGCCAACGAGUGAAAAGAACAAAGGGUGAUUUAUGGUUCUUUAGUAAAUAACAAUAAUAAAUAGCAAAAAUCUUACUCAUAACAUCCUUUAUAAUUGUGAAAUUCUUAUAGUGUGGUAUCCGUAAUAUUUUAUCAUCACAUAUUUGCUUUCAUAAAGUAUUAUUUAUUCAACUUUUUUUUCUGAUACUCUAUGAUAAUGAUGGACUGAGGAGACUGCUUUUCUGAAUCAUAUGCUA
RNAcentral lists this long non-coding RNA (1242 nucleotides) under Pan paniscus (pygmy chimpanzee). RNAcentral describes it as "lncRNA (ENSPPAG00000044261.1)". The record is from RNAcentral. Lineage: Eukaryota; Metazoa; Chordata; Mammalia; Primates; Hominidae.